CGCUACGGACUUAAAAUCCGUCAACUUUAAAAAUCGGGA
RNAcentral lists this transfer RNA (39 nucleotides) under Turnera acuta. Its description in RNAcentral is "partial tRNA-Leu". The record is from RNAcentral. Lineage: Eukaryota; Viridiplantae; Streptophyta; Magnoliopsida; Malpighiales; Passifloraceae.